AAAUUCGGUUCUAGAGAGGUUU
RNAcentral lists this microRNA (22 nucleotides) under Locusta migratoria (migratory locust). RNAcentral's name for it is "lmi-miR-10-3p". Its record names the gene lmi-miR-10-3p. RNAcentral also lists the same sequence under 3 other names. Lineage: Eukaryota; Metazoa; Arthropoda; Insecta; Orthoptera; Acrididae. The record is from miRBase by way of RNAcentral.